AGAGCGAACGCUGGCGGCAGGCCUAAUACAUGCAAGUCGAACGAGCCCUUCGGGGCUAGUGGCGGACGGGUGAGUAAUACGUGGGAACGUGCCUUUUGGUUCGGAACAACUCAGGGAAACUUGAGCUAAUACCGAAUGUGCCCUUCGGGGGAAAGAUUUAUCGCCAUUAGAGCGGCCCGCGUCUGAUUAGCUAGUUGGUGAGGUAAAGGCCCACCAAGGCUACGAUCAGUAGCUGGUCUGAGAGGAUGAUCAGCCACACUGGGACUGAGACACGGCCCAGACUCCUACGGGAGGCAGCAGUAGGGAAUCUUGCGCAAUGGGCGAAAGCCUGACGCAGCCAUGCCGCGUGAAUGAUGAAGGUCUUAGGAUUGUAAAAUUCUUUCAGCGGGACGAUAAUGACGGUACCGCAGAAGACGCCCGGCUAACUUCGCGCCAGCAGCCGC
This 443-nucleotide ribosomal RNA is filed under the name uncultured bacterium. Its description in RNAcentral is "SSU rRNA". It matches the Rfam family "Bacterial small subunit ribosomal RNA", at positions 26 to 518 of the family's 1533-position model. The record is from RNAcentral.